This is a long non-coding RNA of Macadamia integrifolia, 1305 nucleotides long. RefSeq lists it as uncharacterized. The record is from RefSeq and is a predicted model, not a curated record. The transcript is spliced from 3 exons. Lineage: Eukaryota; Viridiplantae; Streptophyta; Magnoliopsida; Proteales; Proteaceae.
UCUUCUUCUCCUCACCGAGUGUUUCAUCCGCAACAGCUCCAUUUAUCCCUUCUCCUCUUCGGCGAGUGCUUCAUCUGCAAUGGCUCCAUAGUUCUCCUAAGAGGUAGCCACCGGAGUUCGUGUCAGCAAAUCAGUUGGAAAAACCUUAAUCCCCACCUAUUUGACAAUAGGCAUAACAAAUGGAUAUUAAAGAGGAAUUGUUUGAACCGCUAUUUUCGGAGAGAAGUUCCAAUGUUCUGAAUGAUGAGAUUGAAGAUGGAAAUAUUGAUGAUGAUGUAACAGUUAUUAAUGAUGAAUCUACUAUUUACAUAGGUCAAUUAUUUAAGUCGUGUGAGGAGGCCUUUUUUGCAUAUAGAUUGUAUGCAAAGAUGCAUGGUUACUCAGUACGGAAAUAACAAUGUUCUGUCCAGAAGAGAGGAAAGGGUGGAAAAAUAUAUCGGAUGAACUUUGUAUGUCAUAGAUCAGGUACCUUAGGCAAGAAGACUUUGGUUGAUGUGAUGAAUGAUAAGAGGAAUAGAAAUCAUGCCAUGCAUUGUAAGGCUCAUAUGAAAGUGGCUUUGGUCAAUAGGGAUGGGGUACUUUUAUGGCAUGUGAUUGCUUUUUCAGAGUCCCACAGCCAUGAAUUUUUAAAUCAGAAUGAAGUUUGUCAUCUACGUGCACAUAGGUUCAUUUUAAAGCAUUGCAAGGAUGGGUUGUUAGCUCUUGACCAAGCCAAAAUCUCUGUUCGUUAGAUGUUAACAAUAUUAAUUCAAUAGCAGAAUGUUCCAGUUGGUUGUUUACCAUUCAGUACAAAAGAUGUGCACAAUUUUUUGAGUUCAAUGAAGAAUCCUGGUAUGAAGGUAGAAAGUAUGAUGCAGCGAAUUUGAUAAUGAUGUGCAUGCAAUUGAAGGAGAAGGAUCUUGAUUUUCAAUUUUCGCAUGAGGUCGAUGAGCAAAUCCGUUUGAUGCAUGUUGCUUGGUCCCAUGCAACUUCAAUACGUGCUUACCAUAAUUAUGGUGAUGUGGUUGUGUUUGACACCACUUAUAAGCUCAAUUCCUAUGAUAUGCCAGUCAGUAUUUGAGUGGGUGUCAACAACUUUGGAUCAACUUGUUUCUUUGGUUGUUGUCUCUUGAGGAACGAGAAAAUACCAUCAUUUGAGUGGGCUUUUAAUGUAAGUGAGACAUAUUUUAUUCUAAUGUUUAAUUAUGUAAUGCUUUGUUUUGUUGAUUGUAAUUAACGUACUAACACGUUAAAAUGCUUCUACAUGAUCCUUGAUGUAGAUUUUUUUUAAAUUUAUGAAUGGAAAGGCUCCAAAGUCAAUCCUCA